RNAcentral lists this ribosomal RNA (508 nucleotides) under uncultured bacterium. RNAcentral describes it as "partial 16S ribosomal RNA". It matches the Rfam family "Bacterial small subunit ribosomal RNA", at positions 28 to 523 of the family's 1533-position model. The record is from RNAcentral.
GAUGAACGCUAGCUACAGGCUUAACACAUGCAAGUCGAGGGGAAACGAUAUUGGAAGCUUGCUUCCGAUAGGCGUCGACCGGCGCACGGGUGAGUAACGCGUAUCCAACCUGCCCACCACUUGGGGAUAACCUUGCGAAAGUAAGACUAAUACCCAAUGAUAUCUCUAGAAGACAUCUGAAAGGGAUUAAAGAUUUAUCGGUGAUGGAUGGGGAUGCGUCUGAUUAGCUUGUUGGCGGGGUAACGGCCCACCAAGGCUACGAUCAGUAGGGGUUCUGGGGGGAAGGUCCCCCACAUUGGACCGAGGACACGGUCCAAACUCCUACGGGAGGCAGCAGUGAGGAAUAUUGGUCAAUGGGCGAGAGCCUGAACCAGCCAAGUAGCGUGCAGGAUGACGGCCCUAUGGGUUGUAAACUGCUUUUAUAAGGGAAUAAAGUGAGUCUCGUGAGACUUUUUGCAUGUACCUUAUGAAUAAGGACCGGCUAAUUCCGUGCCAGCCGCCGCCGUAA